Long non-coding RNA from Daphnia magna, 639 nucleotides. RefSeq lists it as uncharacterized. The transcript has 2 exons. NCBI's taxonomy places the organism in Eukaryota, Metazoa, Arthropoda, Branchiopoda, Diplostraca, Daphniidae. The record is from RefSeq and is a predicted model, not a curated record.
CCAUGUACUCAACUAGCCAUGGUAGCAAGAACUGGGAGAAAAAUUGAAAAGAAUUAUCUUAUUCUCUCUGGUAGCUAAUAAUUUCAGUAUUAAAUGGGGGUAACGAAGCUUGACGCGUUCGAUAGUUGCAUGUUUCGCUCAGCAGCAUCUACGUACCAGGACAACUCAUUGACUAGUCGCAGAACGUUAUCCUGAAAUCUUGCAUCAUUUGGUUGACCACCCUCAUCAAAUUUCUUGUGCACAGCUGGUAAGGCAACACGAACUGGUAAAGAGAUCAUGCCCAGCUCACUCAAAAAGGGCUGAACCACUGUGGCUGCUCGAAUACCUCCAAAAUCACCUGAACCAAAUGUUUUAUUUUGUAAAACUAUUCUCUUAUUUAACUUAAUCAAUUGUGGACUUACCCAUGGAAUAUGUGACAAUACUGCAAGGUCUGUGACGAUAAGAAGCUGGGGGAAAGUGAUUCAUCAUAUUGCUAAGAGCUGGAGGAACACCACAAUUAUACUCUGAGAGCACAACAACAAAGCCAUCAGCUGAUUCAAUCUCCUUGUUAGCUUCAGUUACCCAUGAAGGGGCAGCACUUUUGUCUUUCAUGAAGUGCAAAGGUUGCCUGAGCAUUUGAAAAUCCAUUUCAAGUGGAUC